AUUGAACGCUGGCGGCAGGCUUAACACAUGCAAGUCGAACGGUAACAGGAAGAAGCUUGCUUCUUUGCUGACGAGUGGCGGACGGGUGAGUAAUGUCUGGGAAACUGCCUGAUGGAGGGGGAUAACUACUGGAAACGGUAGCUAAUACCGCAUAACGUCGCAAGACCAAAGAGGGGGACCUUCGGGCCUCUUGCCAUCGGAUGUGCCCAGAUGGGAUUAGCUAGUAGGUGGGGUAACGGCUCACCUAGGCGACGAUCCCUAGCUGGUCUGAGAGGAUGACCAGCCACACUGGAACUGAGACACGGUCCAGACUCCUACGGGAGGCAGCAGUGGGGAAUACUGCACAAUGGGCGCAAGCCUGAUGCAGCCAUGCCGCGUGUAUGAAGAAGGCCUUCGGGUUGUAAAGUACUUUCAGCGGGGAGGAAGGGAGUAAAGUUAAUACCUUUACUCAUUGACGUUACCCGCAGAAGAAGCACCGGCUAACUCCGUG
Molecule: ribosomal RNA, 490 nt
Filed under: uncultured bacterium
Lineage: Bacteria
Description: partial 16S ribosomal RNA
Rfam family: Bacterial small subunit ribosomal RNA
Source: RNAcentral